Molecule: transfer RNA, 72 nt
Filed under: Camelus bactrianus (Bactrian camel)
Lineage: Eukaryota; Metazoa; Chordata; Mammalia; Artiodactyla; Camelidae
Also listed under: 1 other name
Rfam family: tRNA
About the family: Transfer RNA (tRNA) molecules are approximately 80 nucleotides in length. Their secondary structure includes four short double-helical elements and three loops (D, anti-codon, and T loops).
Source: Rfam by way of RNAcentral
GUGGGUAUAGCUCAGUGGUAGAAUGCAUGCUUUGCACACACUUAGUCCUGGGUUCAAUCCCCAGUACCUCCA